ACUCCUACGGGAGGCAGCAGUGGGGAAUAUUGCACAAUGGGGGAAACCCUGAUGCAGCCAUGCCGCGUGUGUGAAGAAGGCCUUCGGGUUGUAAAGCACUUUCAGUAGGGAGGAAGGUAGUGUAGUUAACACCUGCAUUAUUUGACGUUACCUACAGAAGAAGCACCGGCUAACUCCGUGCCAGCAGCCGCGGUAAUACGGAGGGUGCGAGCGUUAAUCGGAAUUACUGGGCGUAAAGCGCAUGCAGGCGGCCUGUUAAGUCAGAUGUGAAAGCCCGGGGCUUAACCUCGGAAUUGCAUUUGAAACUGGCAGGCUAGAGUCUUGUAGAGGGGGGUAGAAUUUCAGGUGUAGCGGUGAAAUGCGUAGAGAUCUGAAGGAAUACCAGUGGCGAAGGCGGCCCCCUGGACAAAGACUGACGCUCAGAUGCGAAAGCUGGGGGGAGC
This 443-nucleotide ribosomal RNA is filed under the name uncultured bacterium. Its description in RNAcentral is "bacterial SSU rRNA". It matches the Rfam family "Bacterial small subunit ribosomal RNA", at positions 335 to 769 of the family's 1533-position model. The record is from RNAcentral.